RNAcentral lists this long non-coding RNA (1451 nucleotides) under Betta splendens (Siamese fighting fish). RNAcentral's name for it is "lncRNA (ENSBSLG00000009721.1)". Lineage: Eukaryota; Metazoa; Chordata; Actinopteri; Anabantiformes; Osphronemidae. The record is from RNAcentral.
CACCUUGAUAUAUAGAUAAUACAUACAACAUUUGCCUGAAAUUAAUCCAUAUACAGUUCUCCCUUCUGAGUGGUGUUUUGUAGUAAUUUGGAAAAUACAUAUGUACUGAUGAUGUGUAGUAAAUGUUAAACAUUCAUCUAAAAACAACUAUUUCUCUUUUUCCUUCUGUCAUCCUUUUGCUUUUGUCCAUAGGUGGUACGGACUUAUAACUGAUUGUAAGUAAACACACAAACAGUGCAUAGAUUGGCCUAUAAUUCAAAUACAGAGUGGUGUAUUCCCACAGUAAUCAGUGUUCAUCUAUUAUACAUCCUGAUCCUGUCUUUGAAAUGAAUAUAAAUACCACUUUCUUUUAUAUAGUGCUUGGAGACUUCACUGCUGGACUCAGGGUGAACUGUCAAUGUAGGCUAUUAUAAAUGUACAAUGGUGUAAGCAGAAAUUUGUUUUGUUAGUAAUUGACUGACUUGAAUAAUCUUUCCAUCUAAUGUUGUUCUCAAGAAUAAUGAAAACUAGAAAAAGUAAUUUCUCGAGAAAUUACAUGGGAGAGCUGAUCUGCUGCCGCAAUGAUGCCAAGCGCUGAUUAAACUGAAACAAAGUUGACUACAACAAAAUGAUGAAAACGACAAAAUGUUGGCAAAGAUUAAAAUGAUGACAGUGAUUGAAAAGAUGGUGAUUAAAAAGAACAUUAAAAAGAUGACCACGGUCAAACGAUGACAAGAUUAAAAAAAUAACAAUGACUCAAAAGUUGACCAAGGUAAAAAGAUGUCAAAGAUUAAUGUCAGGUUCUGGCUCUGUUAUCAGGUUUAUUUUGAAGGCACCUUGUUUUUCUGUCGUAUCAUCAUGUUUUGGGUUCCAGUUUCCACUUCCUGUCUUUAUUUUGGUAGUCUCCCGGUUUCUGUUUUCGGUUCCAGCUUUACUUCCGGUCCCCAUUAGUCACACCUGCUCCGUAUCAAGUAAUCACUUCUUGUAUUUAACCACCACCUGUUUCCUCAGUUCCCCGCCAGAUCGUCGUAUGUAUGCCAGACUACACUUUCCAGCAUUAGUCACACCUGCUCCGUAUCAAGUAAUCACUUCUUGUAUUUAACCACCACCUGUUUCCUCAGUUCCCCGCCAGAUCGUCGUAUGUAUGCCAGACUACACUUUCCAGCAUUUAGUUAUCCUGUUCAUGUUGUUUGGAUCCAGCUCCGUUUUCUGACUCCUGAUUCUCGCCUGCUCCCUGAUCGGUACUUUUGCUUGGACAGCUCUGGAAAUACGAACCUGACCGCCCGACUACGAGACGCCCUGCUCCCUCACGGUACUGUAAAACUGCUAUCUUCGGUUACUGAAUCUCUGCCUGCCCCUGGAUCCGUACCCGCCUGCCCCACCGAUACCGAAGCCCCUUGAUUGACUGUGCAUGACCUGGACUGUCUGUGAUUCUGAAUAAACCGUUUAACCCUACGUUCUGCCUGUGGUCU